Molecule: ribosomal RNA, 253 nt
Filed under: uncultured bacterium
Lineage: Bacteria
Description: partial 16S ribosomal RNA
Rfam family: Bacterial small subunit ribosomal RNA
Source: RNAcentral
UACAGAGGGUGCAAGCGUUGUUCGGAAUUAUUGGGCGUAAAGCGCGUGUAGGCGGCUUUGCAAGUCAGGUGUGAAAGCCCUCGGCUCAACCGAGGAAGUGCGCCUGAAACUGCAGAGCUUGAGUUCCGGAGAGGAUGGCGGAAUUCCCCAAGUAGAGGUGAAAUUCGUAGAUAUGGGGAGGAACACCGGUGGCGAAGGCGGCUCUCUGGACAGGUACUGACACUGAGACGCGAAAGCGUGGGUAGCAAACAGG